Molecule: ribosomal RNA, 464 nt
Filed under: uncultured bacterium
Lineage: Bacteria
Description: partial 16S ribosomal RNA
Rfam family: Bacterial small subunit ribosomal RNA
Source: RNAcentral
GACGAACGCUGGCGGCGUGCUUAACACAUGCAAGUCGAACGGUAAGGCCCCUUCGGGGGUACACGAGUGGCGAACGGGUGAGUAACACGUGGGUGAUCUGCCCUGCACUUCGGGAUAAGCCUGGGAAACUGGGUCUAAUACCGGAUAGGACCACGCUCUGCAUGGAGUGUGGUGGAAAGCUUUUGCGGUGUGGGAUGGGCCCGCGGCCUAUCAGCUUGUUGGUGGGGUGAUGGCCUACCAAGGCGACGACGGGUAGCCGGCCUGAGAGGGUGUCCGGCCACACUGGGACUGAGAUACGGCCCAGACUCCUACGGGAGGCAGCAGUGGGGAAUAUUGCACAAUGGGCGCAAGCCUGAUGCAGCGACGCCGCGUGGGGGAUGACGCCCUUCGGGUUGUAAACCUCUUUCAGUACCGACGAAGCGCAAGUGACGGUAGGUACAGAAGAAGCACCGGCCAACUACGUG